AAACAUUUACUCUCACGUAAAAAUACCAGGCAAAUGUCAGGUGAAUCAAACCCUCCCCAGCAUUCGGAUUUCUCCUGACCACUGUGGAAGACAGAACUCAGAAGAUGUGUCUGUAUAAGUUAUAUAGAAGAUAUAGAAGAUGGAAUUCCAGAAUAUGGAAAUGAAUUUUUGUCAGGAAGAAGCCCAAAGUGCUGCUGCCCUUGAGGAAGAAUUGCUUUGUCUGGCUGCUGCCAUCCUGCAGCAGAAGAGAAUGACAAAAGAGG
Molecule: long non-coding RNA, 263 nt
Organism: Thalassophryne amazonica
Lineage: Eukaryota; Metazoa; Chordata; Actinopteri; Batrachoidiformes; Batrachoididae
Exons: 3
Source: RefSeq, a predicted model, not a curated record